UGGGGAAUCUUCCGCAAUGGACGAAAGUCUGACGGAGCAACGCCGCGUGUAUGAUGAAGGUCUUCGGAUUGUAAAGUACUGUCAUUGGGGAAGAACGGUUUUCUUGAAAAGAUUGAGGAGACAUGACGGUACCCAAGGAGGAAGCCCCGGCUAACUACGUGCCAGCAGCCGCGGUAAUACGUAGGGGGCAAGCGUUGUCCGGAAUUAUUGGGCGUAAAGGGCGCGUAGGCGGGCCUUUAAGUCCGGUGUGAAAGAUCAGGGCUCAACCCUGAGAGUGCAUCGGAAACUGGAGGCCUUGAGGACAGGAGAGGAAAGUGGAAUUCCACGUGUAGCGGUGAAAUGCGUAGAUAUGUGGAGGAACACCAGUGGCGAAGGCGACUUUCUGGACUGUAACUGACGCUGAGGCGCGAAAGCGUGGGGAGCAAACAGGAUUAGAUACCCUGGUAGUCCACGCCGUAAACGAUGAGUGCUAGGUGUAGAGGGUAUCGACCCCUUCUGUGCCGCAGUUAACACAAUAAGCACUCCCGCCUGGGGAGUACGGCCGCAAGGUUGAAACUCAAAUGAAUUGACGGGG
This 574-nucleotide ribosomal RNA is filed under the name uncultured bacterium. Its description in RNAcentral is "partial 16S ribosomal RNA". It matches the Rfam family "Bacterial small subunit ribosomal RNA", at positions 355 to 918 of the family's 1533-position model. The record is from RNAcentral.